This 224-nucleotide unclassified non-coding RNA is filed under the name Hevea brasiliensis (rubber tree). Lineage: Eukaryota; Viridiplantae; Streptophyta; Magnoliopsida; Malpighiales; Euphorbiaceae. The record is from RNAcentral.
GACGAGUUUUGGUGAGUUUGGGGAUGUCAGCUUGGUGCAGUCUAAGCUUCCAAAGAAGCUUAAGAAGAGGCGUCAAAUUGUUAGUGAGGAUGGUCCGGCUGGCUUUGAGGAAUACAUUGAUUACUUGUUCCCUGAAGAAACACAAACUACAAAUCUCAAGAUUCUUGAAGCCGCAUACCGUUGGAAGAAGCAGAAAGUCGACGAUAAUUAAUUUGGCCUUUCUU